UUAAGUUUUGAUUUAGGAUUUGGAUUAGGAUUUGGAUUAAGAUUUAGAAUUUGGUUAGGGUUUGAUUUAGGGUUUGGAUUAGAGUUUGAUUUAGGAUUUGGAUUAGGGUUUGAUUUAGGAUUUGGAUUAGGGUUUGGAUUAGGGUUUAGGAUUUGGUUAGGAUUUAGGAUUGGAUUAGGAUUUGGAUUAGGAUUUAGGGUUUGGUUAGGAUUUGUUUUAGAGUUUGGAUUAGAGUUUGGAUUAGGGUUUAGGGUUUGGUUAAGAUUUAGGAUUGAAUUAGGGUUUGUGUUAGGAUUUAGGGUUUGGUUAGGAUUUGAUUUAGGGUUUGGAUUAGGGUUUGAAUUAGGGUUUAGGAUUUGAUUAGGAUUUGAUUUAGGAUUUAGAUUAGAGUUUCGUUAGGAUUUGAUUUAAGAUUUGGUUUAGGAUUUAGGAUUUGGAUUAGGAUUUAGGAUUGGAUUAGAGUUUGAAUUAAAAUUUAAGGUUUGGUUUAGAGUUUGAUUUAGGGUUUAGGAUUUGAAAUAGGAUUUGAUUUAGGGUUUAAUUUAAGGUUUGUUUAGGAUUUGACUUAGGGUUUAGGAUUUAUUAGUAUUUAAGAUUUAAUUAAGUUUGGUCUAAAGUUUGAGUGAAAUUCAAUAGGAUUUUAACUAGAAUUAAAUUAAGGUUGAAUUGACAUAUAUUUGAGUAAUAUUUGUGAUCAUUCUAAUAUUUCUUUAAGAA
RNAcentral lists this long non-coding RNA (717 nucleotides) under Physcomitrium patens. RNAcentral's name for it is "long non-coding RNA (PPAT_LNC005810)". Lineage: Eukaryota; Viridiplantae; Streptophyta; Bryopsida; Funariales; Funariaceae. The record is from RNAcentral.